Setaria italica (foxtail millet) is the source of this 1514-nucleotide long non-coding RNA. RefSeq lists it as uncharacterized. Lineage: Eukaryota; Viridiplantae; Streptophyta; Magnoliopsida; Poales; Poaceae. The record is from RefSeq and is a predicted model, not a curated record. The transcript has 2 exons.
CAUCAUCGAGUCAACGUCUUUACGCCUCGCCCAGUUCGUCAUCGAGUCAACGUCUUUACCCCUCUGCUCGAGCUCUCGCCGCCGCCGCCACCACCUCCGCCUCCGCUCGAACCCUCACCGCCGCCGCCACUUCCACCUCAAAAUUGGAUGCUCGUGCUACCCAGUCCCUUCCUCCGUUUCCUCUCGUGCACCAUGCCGCUCUCCCCAUCCCCGGCCCCCACACCUCAGCCUUGACGCUUCGCCUCAGCGCCGCGCUGGCCGGCGGCCUCGCCAGCCUGCUGCAGGCCGAUGCUCCAGGUCAACGCCGCCGCCUCCCGACGUCAAUCACGGAGACCCCGUCACUGCGUCGUCGUCCUCUGCUUGAGCUUGCGACGGCCGCGGCGUGCCCAACGCGGUUGCUGCCUUCCCCUCAGCCAUCUCCGCCGAUGCAGCGUCCUUCAAGUGGGGUUGGCCAAGCGCGUCUUCCAUGUGCGGUCAGCGUAUCCUUCUCUUCUCAUCGUUUCUCUCUGUCCUUCCCCUUGGCGGCUCCGUCGCUUCUCUGUCCCUGCCGAUUUGUAUCGAGAUGGAUUCGGCGGUGGUAGGGUCUGAUGAAACCAUAGCUGCCAUCUUCGCCCAGGUCGACCCCCAUACCGUCGACUUUCCUCGGGCUCUUCCGCAGCCAUCGUCCGUGGCCGCUGGCCAACGUUAUCAAGGCGCCAGGGGCCCAAUCUUCCGUCCCAAUCCCUUCCAUUGCUUUGGAUUUAGGCUACAGGAAAGCACGGAUACAAACAGGGCUUCAGGAACAUGAUGCUGCUCCUUCAGAUUAGCAUCUGCUACGAAGAUGGGCAACCAGAUACUAAAUGUUCAUGCAUGUUUCUGCUGAAUAGGUAACCACAUGUACAUGUCUUGUGAACCUGACAAUGGCACAGCUAUGGUACGUUUGACUUAUAUAUUUGUUUUGAUUUGGUACACAGUUGGAUUGUAUUGACAUCUUGGUUACUAUCUGAAACACUUGGUGUGCCAAUUCCUGCAUGGUAUAUGUGUACUUGGAUUGCAAAGUCAUAGCCUUAUCACGUAGAUUACAAAUUCAUAGUUAAAAUUCUGUAGUUCCUGAUGCUCCAUGAUAUUUUUCAUGUUCCAUACAAUGGCUAUACUGCUUACUGUAAAAGGCAUGGUACUAAACGCAUGGUUUGCCUAUACAUACUAUUUGUUUACUACACUACAUGGAACUCUACAUAUAAAAUAACUUUACUACAACCAAUUUAUUAUUGAUAUGUGAUGAUAUGUCUAUACAUUGACCUCUUUACACCGUCCACUAUUGCAGAUCUCAUAACUCUGUAGAGUUCAAGCUUAGUGCAGCUUUUUGGAAAUAUGCUAUUAGAAGCAUGACCUCUUGCUUCCCAUUUUUGUAUUAUUUACCUGAACAUUUGUGGCCUUUGAUGUACUUCACAUUUUGUGUUCCACUGGGAACAGUUGGUGCAAUAUUAUGCGGGUAACAGAGAUUCUCAAGAUGCGAAUCAAAUUGUUAUAGUCUA